UACGAAGGGGGCUAGCGUUGCUCGGAAUCACUGGGCGUAAAGGGUGCGUAGGCGGGUCUUUUAAGUCAGGGGUGAAAUCCUGGAGCUCAACUCCAGAACUGCCUUUGAUACUGAGGAUCUUGAGUUCGGGAGAGGUGAGUGGAACUGCGAGUGUAGAGGUGAAAUUCGUAGAUAUUCGCAAGAACACCAGUGGCGAAGGCGGCUCACUGGCCCGAUACUGACGCUGAGGCACGAAAGCGUGGGGGAGCAAACAGGG
RNAcentral lists this ribosomal RNA (256 nucleotides) under uncultured bacterium. RNAcentral's name for it is "partial 16S ribosomal RNA". It matches the Rfam family "Bacterial small subunit ribosomal RNA", at positions 524 to 777 of the family's 1533-position model. The record is from RNAcentral.